Molecule: ribosomal RNA, 440 nt
Filed under: uncultured bacterium
Lineage: Bacteria
Description: partial 16S ribosomal RNA
Rfam family: Bacterial small subunit ribosomal RNA
Source: RNAcentral
CCUACGGGAGGCAGCAGUGGGGAAUAUUGCACAAUGGGGGAAACCCUGAUGCAGCGACGCAGCGUGAGUGAAGAAGUAAUUCGUUAUGUAAAGCUCUAUCAGCAGGGAAGAAAAUGACGGUACCUGAGUAAGAAGCCCAGGCUAACUACGUGCCAGCAGCAGCGGUAAUACGUAGGGGGCAAGCGUUAUCCGGAUUUACUGGGUGUAAAGGGAGCGUAGACGGCAGUGCAAGUCUGGAGUGAAAGGCGGGGGCCCAACCCCCGGACUGCUCUGGAAACGGUACGGCUGGAGUGCAGGAGAGGUAAGUGGAAUUCCUAGUGUAGCGGUGAAAUGCGUAGAGAUUAGGAGGAACACCAGUGGCGAAGGCGGCUUACUGGACUGUAACUGACGUUGAGGCUCGAAAGCGUGGGGAGCAAACAGGAUUAGAUACCCUGGUAGUC